AGGUCUCCGUAGGUGAACCUGCGGAGGGAUCAUUACACAAAUAUGAAGGCGGGCUGGAACCUCUCGGGGUUACAGCCUUGCUGAAUUAUUCACCCUUGUCUUUUGCGUACUUCUUGUUUCCUUGGUGGGUUCGCCCACCACUAGGACAAACAUAAACCUUUUGUAAUUGCAAUCAGCGUCAGUAACAAAUUAAUAAUUACAACUUUCAACAACGGAUCUCUUGGUUCUGGCAUCGAUGAAGAACGCAGCGAAAUGCGAUAAGUAGUGUGAAUUGCAGAAUUCAGUGAAUCAUCGAAUCGUUGAACGCACAUUGCGCCCUUUGGUAUUCCAAAGGGCAUGCCUGUUCGAGCGUCAUUUGUACCCUCAAGCUUUGCUUGGUGUUGGGCGUCUUGUCUCUAGCUUUGCUGGAGACUCGCCUUAAAGUAAUUGGCAGCCGGCCUACUGGUUUCGGAGCGCAGCACAAGUCGCACUCUCUAUCAGCAAAGGUCUAGCAUCCAUUAAGCCUUUUUUUCAACUUUUGACCUCGGAUCAGGUAGGGAUACCCGCUGAACUUAAGCAUAU
RNAcentral lists this ribosomal RNA (561 nucleotides) under uncultured fungus. Its description in RNAcentral is "eukaryotic LSU rRNA". The stretch from base 201 to 354 matches the Rfam family "5.8S ribosomal RNA". The record is from RNAcentral. Lineage: Eukaryota; Fungi.